CAGAAUUGAUCAUAUGCAUUUCAAGAUUUUAACUAAAUAAAUAUUAAUAUCAAGACGGAAAUAAUAAAUAUUAUUGAUAUUAGGAUGAGUCAACUUCGACAACCAUACAUGGAAAAUAGAGAAAAGAAAUAGAAAGAGAUCAAACUCAAGACAUAUAAGCAACUACAGGAAAUCAAGAGACACAAACAAGACCAGACUUAAACAUCAAUCGGUUGAUCUUAUAUUUUAACUAAAUUAAAACACACAAAGAAAAACUUCUCAAUAGAGUAAUCCAACGACCAAAACCGAGACGGAGGCGAAGAUAGUAGGGAUAAACGAGGAUGCAUCGGAGGUAGGACUCGGUGCAGGAGCGUCAACCGCUGCAGCCGACUGUUN
This 375-nucleotide long non-coding RNA is filed under the name Brassica napus (rape). RNAcentral's name for it is "long non-coding RNA (BNAP_LNC018482)". The record is from RNAcentral. Lineage: Eukaryota; Viridiplantae; Streptophyta; Magnoliopsida; Brassicales; Brassicaceae.